This is a long non-coding RNA of Pogona vitticeps (central bearded dragon), 440 nucleotides long. The record is from Ensembl. NCBI's taxonomy places the organism in Eukaryota, Metazoa, Chordata, Lepidosauria, Squamata, Agamidae.
GAUUUCAUACUGCUCGUGGUACUUUCUUUCUCUGUGCUUGUCAUCCAGUUAGUCCUCAAGUGAAGCAAGCUAUGAUCAUAGCCCAUGCUUUACCUUUUUGGCUGAGCCUGUUGAAGAGAUCUGAAAGCUGUUGGAAAGAUAUCAUUGGAAGCUCAGGGAUUUUCCUCUGAAGUCAUUCUGAAUUAACUGCUAAUGGGGAGCCUUCUUUGAUAGCUCUUUUAUAAUUAAAUGCAGCUGGAUGAAAAAUCAACCACAAAGGGAACUCAAGUUUGUUUAUCAUUACUCCUGAUUUUGCAAGCAGAUGUUUCGGCCAAUAGCUAUUUGGCUUCUCCUAGCCACAUGAAUUUGACCCAACUCCGGGAGGCAGUGGAAGACAGGUGGGCUGGCGUGCUCUGACCCAUGGGGUCACAAACCAAACAGCAACAACUAAACAGCAACAA